AAGCCUGCGGCGUGCCUAAUACAUGCAAGUCGAACGAGUUCUGAUUAUUGAAAGGUGCUUGCAUCUUGAUUUAAUUUUGAACGAGUGGCGGACGGGUGAGUAACACGUGGGUAACCUGCCCUUAAGUGGGGGAUAACAUUUGGAAACAGAUGCUAAUACCGCAUAAAUCCAAGAACCGCAUGGUUCUUGGCUGAAAGAUGGCGUAAGCUAUCGCUUUUGGAUGGACCCGCGGCGUAUUAGCUAGUUGGUGAGGUAACGGCUCACCAAGGCAAUGAUACGUAGCCGAACUGAGAGGUUGAUCGGCCACAUUGGGACUGAGACACGGCCCAAACUCCUACGGGAGGCAGCAGUAGGGAAUCUUCCACAAUGGACGCAAGUCUGAUGGAGCAACGCCGCGUGAGUGAAGAAGGCUUUCGGGUCGUAAAACUCUGUUGUUGGAGAAGAAUGGUCGGCAGAGUAACUGUUGUCGGCGUGACGGUAUCCAACCAGAAAGCCACGGCUAACUACGUGCCAGCAGCCGCGGUAAUACGUAGGUGGCAAGCGUUAUCCGGAUUUAUUGGGCGUAAAGCGAGCGCAGGCGGUUUUUUAAGUCUGAUGUGAAAGCCCUCGGCUUAACCGAGGAAGUGCAUCGGAAACUGGGAAACUUGAGUGCAGAAGAGGACAGUGGAACUCCAUGUGUAGCGGUGAAAUGCGUAGAUAUAUGGAAGAACACCAGUGGCGAAGGCGGCUGUCUGGUCUGUAACUGACGCUGAGGCUCGAAAGCAUGGGUAGCGAACAGGAUUAGAUACCCUGGUAGUCCAUGCCGUAAACGAUGAAUGCUAGGUGUUGGAGGGUUUCCGCCCUUCAGUGCCGCAGCUAACGCAUUAAGCAUUCCGCCUGGGGAGUACGACCGCAAGGUUGAAACUCAAAGGAAUUGACGGGGGCCCGCACAAGCGGUGGAGCAUGUGGUUUAAUUCGAAGCAACGCGAAGAACCUUACCAGGUCUUGACAUCUUUUGAUCACCUGAGAGAUCAGGUUUCCCCUUCGGGGGCAAAAUGACAGGUGGUGCAUGGUUGUCGUCAGCUCGUGUCGUGAGAUGUUGGGUUAAGUCCCGCAACGAGCGCAACCCUUAUGACUAGUUGCCAGCAUUUAGUUGGGCACUCUAGUAAGACUGCCGGUGACAAACCGGAGGAAGGUGGGGAUGACGUCAAAUCAUCAUGCCCCUUAUGACCUGGGCUACACACGUGCUACAAUGGAUGGUACAACGAGUUGCGAGACCGCGAGGUCAAGCUAAUCUCUUAAAGCCAUUCUCAGUUCGGACUGUAGGCUGCAACUCGCCUACACGAAGUCGGAAUCGCUAGUAAUCGCGGAUCAGCACGCCGCGGUGAAUACGUUCCCGGGCCUUGUACACACCGCCCGUCACACCAUGAGAGUUUGUAACACCCGAAGCCGGUGGCGUAACCCUUUUAGGGAGCGAGC
This 1458-nucleotide ribosomal RNA is filed under the name Lacticaseibacillus rhamnosus. RNAcentral's name for it is "bacterial SSU rRNA". It matches the Rfam family "Bacterial small subunit ribosomal RNA". The record is from RNAcentral. Lineage: Bacteria; Bacillati; Bacillota; Bacilli; Lactobacillales; Lactobacillaceae.